RNAcentral lists this ribosomal RNA (495 nucleotides) under uncultured bacterium. RNAcentral describes it as "partial 16S ribosomal RNA". It matches the Rfam family "Bacterial small subunit ribosomal RNA", at positions 28 to 507 of the family's 1533-position model. The record is from RNAcentral.
GACGAACGCUGGCGGCGUGCCUAAUACAUGCAAGUCGAACGCUGAAGGAGGAGCUUGCUUCUCCGGAUGAGUUGCGAACGGGUGAGUAACGCGUAGGUAACCUGCCUGGUAGCGGGGGAUAACUAUUGGAAACGAUAGCUAAUACCGCAUAAGAGUAGAUGUUACAUGACAUUUGCUUAAAAGGUGCAAUUGCAUCACUACCAGAUGGACCUGCGUUGUAUUAGCUAGUUGGUGGGGUAACGGCUUACCAAGGCGACGAUACAUAGCCGACCUGAGAGGGUGAUCGGCCACACUGGGACUGAGACACGGCCCAGACUCCUACGGGAGGCAGCAGUAGGGAAUCUUCGGCAAUGGACGGAAGUCUGACCGAGCAACGCCGCGUGAGUGAAGAAGGUUUUCGGAUCGUAAAGCUCUGUUGUAAGAGAAGAACGAGUGUGAGAGUGGAAAGUUCACACUGUGACGGUAUCUUACCAGAAAGGGACGGCUAACUACGUG